UACGGGGGGCAGCAGUCGAGAAUUUUUCACAAUGGGCGAAAGCCUGAUGGAGCGACGCCGCGUGGAGGAGGAAGGCCUUCGGGUUGUAAACUCCUGUCACCGCAGAACAAGGUUUUCCUGCCGAAUAAGCAGGAGAACUCGAUAGUAUGCGGAGAGGAAGGGACGGCUAACUCUGUGCCAGCAGCCGCGGUAA
This 193-nucleotide ribosomal RNA is filed under the name uncultured bacterium. Its description in RNAcentral is "partial 16S ribosomal RNA". It matches the Rfam family "Bacterial small subunit ribosomal RNA", at positions 340 to 523 of the family's 1533-position model. The record is from RNAcentral.